RNAcentral lists this transfer RNA (69 nucleotides) under Rattus norvegicus (Norway rat). It matches the Rfam family "tRNA". From Rfam's summary of the family: Transfer RNA (tRNA) molecules are approximately 80 nucleotides in length. Their secondary structure includes four short double-helical elements and three loops (D, anti-codon, and T loops). Lineage: Eukaryota; Metazoa; Chordata; Mammalia; Rodentia; Muridae. The record is from Rfam by way of RNAcentral.
GGGGAUUUAGCUCAGUGGUAGAGCGCUUGCCUAGCAAGCGCGAGGUCCUGGGUUCGGUCCCCAGCUCCA